RNAcentral lists this transfer RNA (91 nucleotides) under Verrucomicrobiota bacterium. RNAcentral describes it as "Verrucomicrobia bacterium (fermentation metagenome) tRNA-Ser". It matches the Rfam family "tRNA". From Rfam's summary of the family: Transfer RNA (tRNA) molecules are approximately 80 nucleotides in length. Their secondary structure includes four short double-helical elements and three loops (D, anti-codon, and T loops). Further hydrogen bonds mediate the characteristic L-shaped molecular structure. tRNAs have two regions of fundamental functional importance: the anti-codon, which is responsible for specific mRNA codon recognition, and the 3' end, to which the tRNAs corresponding amino acid is attached (by aminoacyl-tRNA synthetases). tRNAs cope with the degeneracy of the genetic code in two manners: having more than one tRNA (with a specific anti-codon) for a particular amino acid; and 'wobble' base-pairing, i.e. permitting non-standard base-pairing at the 3rd anti-codon position. Lineage: Bacteria; Pseudomonadati; Verrucomicrobiota. The record is from RNAcentral.
GGAGAGGUGCCUGAGUGGUCGAAAGGAACGGUUUGCUAAACCGUCGUACCUCAAUGGGGUACCGUGGGUUCGAAUCCCACCCUCUCCGCCA